This is an RNA transcript of Pogona vitticeps (central bearded dragon), 965 nucleotides long. It is a transcript of the gene named nucleophosmin/nucleoplasmin 3, with no coding region annotated. The record is from RefSeq and is a predicted model, not a curated record. NCBI's taxonomy places the organism in Eukaryota, Metazoa, Chordata, Lepidosauria, Squamata, Agamidae.
CCCAGCCGGGAAGGGAGGAGGAGCAGCGGCAAGGCGCGUCUGGGCCUCUCCGCUUCGUUCCGUGUCGGUAUGGCCGCCUUCGUCGACCUGGAGAGCUUCGUGGAUGAAAUUAAGCCGUCGAUUUGUACCAACCACUUCUUGUUCAGAUGUGAGCUGAACAGCAGUGCCCGAUCCUACACUUUUGAAGUCUGUGAAGAGGAUGAGACUGACCAUUUCCUAGCUUUGGAUAUGGUUUGCCUGUCAGAAGGUGCAAAGGAUGAAUGCAACAUUGUGGAGCUUAUCGGGCGUGACUAUCAAAACAAGGAGAUCACUGUGCCAGUGGCCAAUCUGAAGUUGUCAUGCCAGCCCUCGCUGUGUUUGGAGCAUUUUGAGCUUCAGCCCCCAGUGACCUUCCGCCUGUGCUCAGGAUCUGGCCCUGUCCACCUUGCAGGACAACACCAAAUCUUUCACAGAAGGGAUCCCUCAGAGUCCAGUGAGGAGGAUGUUAGCGAGGAAGAUGCAUCCAUAGAAGAGGAGGAGGAGUUCUCCCCUAUCAAGCCUGCCAAGAAACAGCGCAAGUGUUAGCUAUCCUUCGUGGAGGAUGAGCCAUCUCUGUGUGACUACCGCUGUAAUGGAGACAGGUCCUGCAAAUGUCAUUUUUCCUGAAAUGGAGUGGUCAUGGUUUGGCAGAUGACUUUAUUGAAAAUUUUGCUUGUGUUCUCAGUCUGUAACUGAUGACUUUUGACUGUAACAGGUGCUCUUGAUUUUGAGUUGAAACUGGUGUUUGAGGAAUCAGCAGAAACCUACAAGCCAUGUUUUUGAGGACACCGUUCCCUUUCAUCCUGGGAAAAGUGAUGGUUGCUCUGCUGAUCAUCUUUUCAGGGUGCUUAGAAAACUACCAAGCAGAGUUUACUUUUUUAUAUAUAAAUAUAGAUGUUAUUUUCUUAUUGUGUUAACCGACUGAGAAAAAUCUUUAUUAUGUAGGC